This 214-nucleotide ribosomal RNA is filed under the name Campeiostachys nutans. RNAcentral's name for it is "Elymus nutans partial small subunit ribosomal RNA". The stretch from base 44 to 214 matches the Rfam family "Eukaryotic small subunit ribosomal RNA", at positions 693 to 864 of the family's 1831-position model. The record is from RNAcentral. Lineage: Eukaryota; Viridiplantae; Streptophyta; Magnoliopsida; Poales; Poaceae.
GGAUUUGUCGGUUGGGCUUAACUGUCCGUAUUGACUUUAUGGAUUCUUACCUUCUGAAUAACCAGCAUGCUAUUAAGUUAAUGUGUUGGGGAAGCAGAUCUAUUACCUUGAAAAAAUUAGAGUGCUUAAAGCGAGCUGGUGCUUGAAUAGAUUAGCAUAGAAUAAUAAAAUAGGAUGGUAUGGUUCUAUUUUGUUGGUUUCUAGGAUCACUGUA